This 286-nucleotide ribosomal RNA is filed under the name Pseudomonas aeruginosa. RNAcentral describes it as "partial 16S ribosomal RNA". It matches the Rfam family "Bacterial small subunit ribosomal RNA", at positions 1086 to 1372 of the family's 1533-position model. Lineage: Bacteria; Pseudomonadati; Pseudomonadota; Gammaproteobacteria; Pseudomonadales; Pseudomonadaceae. The record is from RNAcentral.
CCCGUAACGAGCGCAACCCUUGUCCUUAGUUACCAGCACCUCGGGUGGGCACUCUAAGGAGACUGCCGGUGACAAACCGGAGGAAGGUGGGGAUGACGUCAAGUCAUCAUGGCCCUUACGGCCAGGGCUACACACGUGCUACAAUGGUCGGUACAAAGGGUUGCCAAGCCGCGAGGUGGAGCUAAUCCCAUAAAACCGAUCGUAGUCCGGAUCGCAGUCUGCAACUCGACUGCGUGAAGUCGGAAUCGCUAGUAAUCGUGAAUCAGAAUGUCACGGUGAAUACGUU